UAUAAACUCUUCAUUUCCCAGUGCUC
This 26-nucleotide non-coding RNA is filed under the name Homo sapiens (human). The record is from RNAcentral. Lineage: Eukaryota; Metazoa; Chordata; Mammalia; Primates; Hominidae.